UUGCAGCUGGUCGGGGGAUGUAAGCUGCCUCAUGAGAUUCUCAUGGAUGAGUGUGUAGCUUGCACCAGUGUCCACAAUGGCUUUACCUGACCAGGCAUCGAUACAAAGGGGAACAACUAGUUGUUGAGCAACAGAGUUGUUGGACGGAUGACCACCUGACUUGGGGUGAUAAGGUUGUUUGCCGCUGGUGGAAUACUGUGGACCAGACGUCUGAGGUGACUGGGGAGAGGUAUAAUGUGGACAUUUUCCUGGUGGAUGCUGUCCUCUACAUCUCCAGCACUGAACUGGGAUUUUCUCAGUAGUUGAUGUCCUAAUUUUACCAGCUCUUCCACAGUAUUUACUCUGCUACGCAAUUGACUGGCAA
Molecule: long non-coding RNA, 364 nt
Organism: Carassius auratus (goldfish)
Lineage: Eukaryota; Metazoa; Chordata; Actinopteri; Cypriniformes; Cyprinidae
Exons: 3
Source: RefSeq, a predicted model, not a curated record